Molecule: long non-coding RNA, 1835 nt
Organism: Callithrix jacchus (white-tufted-ear marmoset)
Lineage: Eukaryota; Metazoa; Chordata; Mammalia; Primates; Cebidae
Source: Ensembl
AUGGCAGUAGGCAAGGACAGAGGAAGCAGAAGGAGCUGCUGCUGAAUUAAAGCCCCAAAUGGAUGAAUAACCACAACUCAGUGGAGGACCUGCAAAAGUGACAGCGCUAGGUAUGAUCUCUAAGAAAGCAUACUGAGGGAGAAGAGAAUUCAACCAAGAACUGGAACCUUUACACACAGAUGAUAGGAAGGGAGAGAGUGGCCUGUUAAGAAGAGUGGGAAGAGGACAUGCUUGGAGCCUGAUGAGAACCAACAUCCCACAAUGCUACAGAGAUACUUACUCACCCCUGCAACUGCCUAUAUUGGGAAAGAUGGAACCAGAAGAGGCAAGAUUAUGUGUCUACAUUCAGGAAGAAAGAAAGAAAGACAAUCUUCAUUUUAAAAUUCCCAUUUUAAGUAUAACCUCAAGUAUAAUUUGCUUUCUCUAACAGUAUAACAGACAGCAUGAAAUGUGCAAAGGACUUAAGUUCAAUGAGGCUUACGUAUGAGUUUUAAUGGAGAAGGUUAAUUUUUAACUGCUUCUAAGACUUCAUAAUAUGAUAGGAAAAAUUAUCAAGAGAUAAUUAGAAGAGAAUGACAUUAUAAUCCCCAAAGAAAAACAUAUUUUGUAAGCAAACCCGAAAUUCAGCACAAUCUUAAAUUAUAAUCCCAGCUGGAUGGGAUUAGCAUUUUUGCAACACAUUGAAACAAGAAUGUUCAGUGCACUGAGCCACGAGCUUGACUUUGUUGAUCAUUCUCUAUCAAAACCCAGAUUUUUAAAUAACAGUACACCACUGGACCCAGAUUCAAUGGUUUCCCAAAAACCGAUUUUUACUGUCCGAUGUUAACAAACUAGUGUCAGCCCAGUUGGAUGAUUUAGAUGUUCCUGAAUUGUUAGGAUGUUCAGGGUGGCCCAUCAUCAUUGCACAAAUUGCAGCAGUUCACAGCAAUGGUAAAUGUUUCCCGUCUCCCGACAUACUGGCACAUUUAAAUUAUGUUGCAUUGCGAUUCUGUCUCUUUAAACAAGAAGAAAAUUAAGCUUCAAGUUUAAUUAAACAUUAUUUUAAAAAUUGGGUUUUGGUUUAUAAAAUUCACCCUGUGAUUCUUCCAAGUUCCUUCCUUGAGAAAAUAGAUUGCACGUUUCGUUGGGAUUUGACCUUAAUUAAUCCUGUACGUUGUGAUCCACCCUCUUGCUGAAACAGUCUUAUGAAAAGGAAUGCAAGCUAUGGGCUAAGAUAACAAUCGGCCAUUAACUUCUGUGUGUGAUGCUGGCUGUGGUCCAUGAGCGUGGAAUUCAAAACCCAUUGUACACAGUAAUGUCCAGGGCUUAGUGCUCUAUGGUCGAGAGACAAAAUAAACUAUGCAGAACAGCAUCUUUACACAGUCUACAUGGAUUUACACUAGAGCAAAUGCUCUGAAACAUUCAUAAUGCAGCAUGUGCGUUGGCAUCUAAUCCUGCCGUGUCAGAUUACACAGAAGAUGGGUCAUUCCAGCAAUGCCAACUGAAUUAAACAAGCAAAAGUGAUCACUUUCCAGAUACCAUUAUUUUAGUAAGAAUGAUUUGCAGACUUAUCACUUAAAACUUUAAAAAUAUCUGAUUAUUUCCUUCUAAUGUUUUAGAUAGUAUCCUAGGGCAGUAGCUCUCCUUACUAACAUAACUUGACUGCCUUCUAAAUAAGAAAAGGGUUUGAAUUGAUAAAUAACUUUUGUCUGUUGAUCUAAAUCAUAUGUAGUCCAGAUAAAUAUAACACAUUUGCAGUACUAUUAAUAAAGCAAGUGACUAUAGCAGCUGAAAUCUUUUAUGUAACGUAGCUUUUUCUUUUGGCCGGGACACUCAUCACCUCCCCAAUAAGUUUU